UGAGCUGUGAUGGGGAGAAGACAUUGUGUCUUCGAGUCGUUGAUUUCACACUGCCGAGAAAAGCCUCUAGAUAGAAAAUAGGUGCCCGUACCGCAAACCGACACAGGUAGUCAAGAUGAGAAUUCUAAGGUGAGCGAGCGAACUCUCGUUAAGGAACUCGGCAAAAUGACCCCGUAACUUCGGGAGAAGGGGUGCUCUUUAGGGUUAACGCCCAGAAGAGCCGCAGUGAAUAGGCCCAAGCGACUGUUUAUCAAAAACACAGGUCUCUGCUAAACCGUAAGGUGAUGUAUAGGGGCUGACGCCUGCCCGGUGCUGGAAGGUUAAGAGGAGUGGUUAGCUUCUGCGAAGCUACGAAUCGAAGCCCCAGUAAACGGCGGCCGUAACUAUAACGGUCCUAAGGUAGCGAAAUUCCUUGUCGGGUAAGUUCCGACCCGCACGAAAGGCGUAACGAUUUGGGCACUGUCUCAACGAGAGACUCGGUGAAAUCAUAGUACCUGUGAAGAUGCAGGUUACCCGCGACAGGACGGA
RNAcentral lists this ribosomal RNA (528 nucleotides) under Staphylococcus aureus. Its description in RNAcentral is "partial 23S ribosomal RNA". It matches the Rfam family "Bacterial large subunit ribosomal RNA", at positions 1557 to 2084 of the family's 2925-position model. Lineage: Bacteria; Bacillati; Bacillota; Bacilli; Caryophanales; Staphylococcaceae. The record is from RNAcentral.